GCGCGAAAACUUUACAAUGCGGGCAACCGUGAUAAGGAAACCCCGAGUGCCACCACAGGGUGGCUGUCCACCAGUGUAAAAAACUGGUGAAGAAAGGGCCGGGCAAGACCGGUGCCAGCCGCCGCGGUAAUACCGGCGGCUCGAGUGGUGGCCGCUUUUACUGGGCUUAAAGGGUCCGUAGCUGGAUCUGGGUGUCCCUUGAGAAAUCCAUCGGCUUUACUGAUGGGCGUUCAGGGGAAACUGCAGUUCUAGGGACCGGGAGAGGUGAGAGGUACUGCCGGGGUAGGAGUGAAAUCCUGUAAUCCCGGUGGGACUACCUAUGGCGAAGGCAUCUCACCAGAACGGCUCCGACAGUGAGGGACGAAAGCUGGGGGAGCAAACC
This 382-nucleotide ribosomal RNA is filed under the name uncultured prokaryote. RNAcentral describes it as "bacterial SSU rRNA". It matches the Rfam family "Archaeal small subunit ribosomal RNA", at positions 339 to 725 of the family's 1478-position model. The record is from RNAcentral.